RNAcentral lists this long non-coding RNA (4187 nucleotides) under Homo sapiens (human). RNAcentral describes it as "HSALNT0368662". Lineage: Eukaryota; Metazoa; Chordata; Mammalia; Primates; Hominidae. The record is from RNAcentral.
UUCCUCAGUUGCAGUGAGAUGUGAGGCACUUGCAGAGACUCAGUCCACCACCCUGGGCAGCUUUCACCACCCUGGGCAGCUUUUCCGAGACGUAGGGACUGGCUUGCCGUAAUUCAUAGCUUCUGCUGUCCCUUGCUACAUACCUCCUGUUUGGUCACAAACUAGGAUUGCAGCAUCUGCUUGUAGGCUCAAAAUAAAGGGAUGGAGAAAAAUCGACCAAGCAAAUGGAAAACAGAAAAGAGCAACUUGCUUCCUGAAAAUUCACGGGUCUCGCUCUGUUACCCAAGCUGGAGUGCAGCGGUGUGAUCAUGGUUCACUGCAGCUUCAACUUCCUGGGCUCAAGGGACUCUUCCACCUCAGCCUCCUGAGUACCUGAGACUACAGUUCUGUGCCAUGCCUGGCUAAUCUUUUUUUUCUUUUGUAGAGACAGGAUCUUGCUACACUGACCAGGCUGGUCUUGACCUCCUGGCCUCAGGCUAUCCUCCCACCUUUGCCUCCCAAAGAAAAAUCAGUCUUUUGUUAUGUCUUCAUUUUAUUCACAUGCAUGCUUGAUUCAUGUUCUGUUGCUUCUAUUGAUUAUUAAAUCUGGUUUCAGAGUACUAGACAGACUGUCUUGCUGUGUUGCAUUCUACUGUUUUGACCACGAAAGGACAGGUUAAAUAUUGUGUUCUGUUACAAAAUGAAAUGGAAAACUAGGAUCAUUCACAAAAUAUUUGAUGUACUAUGGCUCAUUCUUUUCAUGGUUGUCUUUGUAUUUCAGAAAUGCUUCUUUACUGUUUGAAUGACCAUAUAUGGAAAAUAGACACCGUACAAACUCUUCCUCCUAGUUUCAAUUUUCUUUUUAACAAAAUGCUUCAUUCUUUUGUUGGACGUAGUAUAAGUAAUAUGCAUGCAACAGACAUCCCUGAAUUUCAACUCAUCCUAACCUUUCUGCCAAUUAAUGGAGACUUACAACUGAUGUUUUAUUCAUUUCUACAUUAUUUGACUGUUUUAUAGGAAUGUAUUAAUAAUCAGAAAAAUAAGAUACUAAUUUAUAGUAAGAAAAAUAGAUUAAGCUGCCUAGGUGAAUAGACUAAAAUAAGCUGGCAAUUGUCCUUUGGUUGUUAUCCUGGGAUAAUGAUUAAGCAGAGACAGGAAUAAAGGGGGUAAAGCCCUACGUAAAAGCUACCUUUGUAAGAGACAAAUUGUAGUCUUCCAAAAUUAUCCACAUGUGCCUUUUUGCACAACCCAAUUCAAACUAUCUGCUGUUCAUAGACAACUUUUGAGUAAGCCUAACAUUAUUAUUAGUUAAUAACAACAAUUGACUUCUCAUAAUUAAUCUAUAUUGCUUAUAAAUUACAACAUCAAUUAUUCCUUCACUUACGAGGUCUGAUAACUGGCAAUAAUGGGAACAAGCAAUGCUGUGUGUAGAUUGUGUGAGGGCAAAGCAUAGUUGAAUUCCUUUUUAUCCACCUAAGCUGACCAUCACUCAGUGAUGUAAAUUCAUAAGAUUGCAGAUUGCAGUGUCUACUCUUGCCUGAUAAUGUUGUCUAUAUUUUACCUGAUAUGUUAAAUAUGCUUAUUUUUCCUAAAUACAGACAUAAUAAUGGCCAAUUCACAGAGGGUUGUUGAUGAAAUAUGCCUCAAAAUAUUACCUCUCCCUCUACAAGUAAUGGAAAAUACAUUUAAUUUUUAGAGUUUUUACAAACUGAGUUUGUGGAAAUAAAGCAGGAUCACUUGCUCACUUGUUAACAGUCCAGGGUGUCACAUUCUUGAAUCAGGUUGGGAAGGUGCUCAUGAAGUUUAUACAAGACCUGUGAUAUGGGGAAUCUCUCAGAUGCGUGGGCAACUCCCUAUUUUGUCUCACAGGAUGUGAGAUGUGUACCUUUUUAUUCUCUUGAACUAAUCUAAAUACAUUCUAACAAUAAUGAGUAGAAACCAGCAAAUUAUGUAACAAAACAGAUUUCUUAUGGUAUGUUGGAAAUAUUGGUCUAAUCCCUUCAUUUUACAAAUAAAGAACUUGAAACCUGUAAUGAUUAAGUGGCCAAGUGGUUACAAGGUCAACUAGUGGCCCAGCUGGACUCAAACAUAGGUCUCCUGGAAAAGGGCUCUUUUCAUAACACUGCAUCAUAGCUGCUGGAAGAGACCCCAGGCACCAAAAGAUUCUUCCAGUAAGAUCCAAAGUCCUAUGGCUUAUUUUUCAAAAUGUUCUAAGGUAAAGAGUAUGAAAAAGUCAAGAUCUUAGAGGAUUUUUUUAAAAAUUCCUUUUAUCACAGUCUCUUUUUAAUGAUUGUAGCUGUCACAUUUUAGAAGUAAGGUAAGUUUGACUAUGGUUCUGUUUCAUAUAUUUUAGCUUGUCUCUGUCAGCAAUGUCACCCCCCUAACAACCUAAAAUCAUCUCUUGGCUUCUUUCUUAAAAACAUGUAUCCAGGUAGGCCAAAUGAUCUGUGGUCUCUGGAGUCAACUGCAGAAGAACAGAUUUCUAUUACAAUGGCCCUUUGAUGAACACAAUGUAUUAAUUUCACAAAAUACCCUGCCGGCAUAAAUGACCUAGUCUCAAGAGUUCUUUUAAAUGUCAGUCUGUUGGUACUAUACUGCUUAGAGCAUGAGGCUGGGAACAGAGAAAACUGCUGUGCAAAGAUAACUGAAUGUACUCUUAUGGCUAAAAUCACCCACAGUGGAUUUUCUUAUUUCUCUGAAAAGAAAAGAACACUAAGUGAUUCAGUUUCAGUGCAUGUGAUAACUAUCUUUGAAGUAUUGAAGAAAAUGUAUAUUUAAAUUGCUCUUACACAUUAUAACACCUUACUACAGUAACAAGACAACGACUAAAUCUAAGUCUCAAUGAAUCUCAAAUAAUACUGUACUGAGGCUCUAAUUAAUCAUGUAGAAAUUCCCUAGAUGCCUCACGUAAAUGCUACCAUCAGUAGAAAAUAUUAAAAUUUAUGUAUAUGUCAAUACAUCAUUAUAUGAAAAUUGGUAUGACAGAUCUGUGCAACUUCCACAAAUUUAAAUACCAAUUGCUAUGUUACAAAGCCAUUUGACCAAAUUAUUUCAAUGCAGCAAGUCGAGGUAGAGAAGAUGGAAAAGUCUAGGAAAUAAAAAUAAAGUGUUCAGAAAUGGGGGAGAAUGAGAACUGUGGGAAUGUUAAAGGAAAUAGUAUUAUUUAGGACAGGGAAGACAAGUCUGAAGGGUAAUUUAAUAACUAUAUUCCUAUAGUAUGUCUCCUCCUGAUAGGUACAGUAACAGUGCACAUGUAAAGUAUGAAAAUCACUUCCAAGCUUUUGAACAUAUUCAAAUAUUUUUCUCAUUUAACUCAGCUUAAGCCUUGCACCGUGAAAGUGCAGGCACAGAUCUAUUUUGCUUUGCCAGUAUGACACAAUCCUUAUGCAGUUCUUUCAAAUUAAAUUUCUCUAUUGUUUCUAAUCCAGGUCUUAGUGACUCUCUUACUCUAUGGCAAGGUCUACCAAUGCAUUAAAUGUGGGCAGUGUUCUUUAAGCCAGUGUGUAAUAAAAUGUCUAUGGAAGCAGCUUGUCUUUCAGGCUGCUUUCUUGCAUUAUGAGUAGUCUUUGACUUGCUCCAAUUUACUAUUGAAUGUCAGAAGAUAAAGGACUUUGGUAUCCUAGUAACAGGUGGGUUUUCCUUUUCAUGCAUCAGUUCUUAGAGUUUUCCUUUGGAAUGCUUCCCAUAAUGUUGAGCCAAGCUCACUUUGGCUGGUACAGAAAAGCAGCAUGACAAAUGGUAAGGAGAACAUCUUUACGUGUGUGUGCACACAGGCAUGUGUACACAUGAACAUGGGCAUGUCACAAAGGACACAGCAUCAAUAUCUUUGUCUUUAUUUAAAAUGUUAUGAUUUUCCAGAUAGAUGCUGUACUCAGACUUUGAGAUAUAUUUUGUGAGACAAAGUUUCAGAAUGUCUGUCACAGCUGCCACUCAUUCUUGUGUUUAUUUCUAAUUGUUGUAUAGGUGCCUCUUCAAAUAGUGUGCUGAAAGUUUGACAAAUUUCUCUAUUUUCUGAGUGCCGGGUUCACAAAAGGAUAGUGUAAAAAUCUCAAUUGUCCUUGGUUUUUUCCAUAAUGUUCACUGUCUUGCCUGCCGAUUCAACUGUCUUUAAAGGUUAAAAAAGGCAUUUUCUAUACUUAAAGUUCUAGAACUUUGGAAACUCCUACGAAACUUCUAUAAGGGACAAAUUUCACUCAUAUAUAUAACUG